Long non-coding RNA from Carassius auratus (goldfish), 2610 nucleotides. NCBI's taxonomy places the organism in Eukaryota, Metazoa, Chordata, Actinopteri, Cypriniformes, Cyprinidae. The record is from Ensembl.
AUGCCACAAAUUUGCCUGAACAAAUUGAACAAAGAACAAAAUCUGCCAGGGGGACUUUUUUGCCCUCAUGCCAAAUUCCCGAUUAUGCAGAUGCCAAGCAAUGUGUCACAAUUACUGUUGUGCUUGUUUUAUUUGUACUUGUUAAAUUUACUUCUCCACAUUUUUGCAGCCAAAUUCUAGUCAGUUUAUGAAAGCUGUUUUCCGGGAUGGGAUUGAAAAACAAAAACAAAGGUAACUAUAACUUUGUCUUACAGUUUAAGAAAAAAAAGUCAGAAUUGUGAGAUAUUAAGAGUGUAUACAUCUUGAAAUUCUGACUUUUUUUUUCCACAAAAUAAAAAGGGGAAUUGCGCCUUUUAUCUAACAAUUCUCACCUUUUUCUUGCCAUUGCGAGUUCAUUUCUCACAAUCCAACUUUUUUUCUCACAAAAAAGUCGGAGUUGUGAGAUAUAAAAUUAGAAUUGCAAGGAAAAAAGUUCUUCUUCCAAUUGUUAUUGUUUUUUUACUAUAUAAAUGAGUCACUGAAUGACUCCCUCACCCUUUCAAAUUAUUUCAAAAUGUUAAUCAUUUAGGAGCAAAACCCUGCUGGCGUGUGUUGAUAGUGGAUCUACAAAAUAGACAACUGUGAAGUAAUUGGCGAUGUUAAUGUCUACAAUACUCAGAAUUAUCUUGUGACAGUUGAACAAAGUUGAUUUUGCUUGUGUGAUAAAUACGGCCUACUAAAGCAAAUGUAGGUCAAAUUUUUACCUCCAAAAAUCAGUUUGAAAAUCAUUAUGAUGGUACAUUGACUUAUAAUAUGGUGAGAAUAAUCCAAAACAUGGUUAUGUGCCAUUCAAUGUCUCAAUCAGCUCCACCCCUUUAGACAGGUUAAUGCACCAUUUGUUCAUGCACCUACAUAAAUGUGAACACAUCAGGCUUCAGUAUCAGAUUAAAUCAGUAUCAGUAUAUCCAUAAGCGUACAACGCAAAGCUCAUUCCCUUCUCUCAGGGAACUGAGAUUACGAAAGUAACCAGAGCAUUUUUCUCAAUCAUAAACAGAGCAACAAAACAGUUUUAAACUGUCACUAAUACACCUCAUCAAUAACGGAUUAACAGUGUAAUGUUUUAAUGUAUGUUUUUCUCAGGAAACAGAAAAGAUGCCAUAAAUAUUAGAAAAAUGCUUUAUUGCAUAAACUCUAUGCAUUUGUCCUGUACAUAUUUGAAUAUGUAUAUUAAAAUCCUCUAUGGGCAGCUUGCAGCAAGCUGGUCUCAAAUACAUAGCUAAAUAUUCUGCAUGCAGAGUGUACAGAUCUAUCAUUAAGUGAAUAACUGUAAAUAUGGUUAUUUACAUUUUUUACAGUUCAUUUUAAAGUACUGCACCACCAUAUGACCCUUGUUUUCUAAACCCUAAAGUUUAGAAAUACAAUCCACUUUAAAUACAGAACCAUGUUCAGUUUGAUUUCAUGCGCUAUUUUGUUCACAACAUUAUUGUCCCAAUGAAUAAAAAGGGCAUUUUUUGGCAAUAUUGUCCCUUAAAUAAACUGAAGUAAUUGACUGUGUAUGUAUCAUUAACAUUGUUCGGUACAACAUUCUGCAAUUUCUAAAAUCCCACCCAACCUACCAACCCCAAAACAUAUUGUUUAACUCUUCACAUUCACCACAUAAUUGUGGAGAUCAAAAUAAUCUAAACACGAAGUCUAUAUCAUUUUAUCAACCCAUCCAGAUCUUUAGCUGAAUGCUACAAGCUAAUGUUACAUUCUGGAUCAGAAAGGACAGCACGAGGACAAACACAUUGAAUGAAUAAAUUACUCCAACCACCAGGUGUCGCCAUCGUCCCAGAAUCAACUAUAAUCCUCUCGCUCCAACCUCACAUGGAUCAACAUUUGACUGAGGAAAAGGGGUUGGACUAGCAACAUUAUACCUUUAUAAUUUUAAUGUAUACACCUUUAUUCUCUUCAGUACAUCUGUGCAGACAAAUAUGGCUUUAGUCAGGGGUCUUGGGGGAGAACGGAGAGCUCGCAGACAUGUAUUGAUUUCAUCAACCCCCUCAGUAUCUCAGACACGAUCUGUGAAGAAUGUACCAUUUUAAACUAUCAUGCACGAAACAGAAACACAUGUAAAGCUCUAUUUACAGAGUUCUGCUCAUUCACAUGCAUAAUAAAGUAGAAGCAGACCUCAGGAAACAUGGUGGAGGACAUAUACCAGUGUGUUUUCUACAGGUGUCCAGAGGAGACAUGAAUGAAACAGAGAACAGCUGAAUGAGGCACAGAGUUUUAACCAUCGCACCUAUGAGAAAGAUACAAUCAUCUUCCAGUAUCAUUCGUUUUCUUGUUACAAUCCCAGUAUUGAAGAUGUGAAGCAUCGUCUUAACAUACAUCUAUUGAAACACAAAGUGCAGUGCUACCGUGGCUUUAAUGCAGACAGAGAAAUGAACAUGCACCAUACAACUAACCAUAACAGGAUUCUGGCUAAAGUGAAGGACAUCUUUAACGCAGCUCAAAAAAUAAGUUUGGCAAAACAAAAAGAAAGUUUGUGCGUAUGGUUUAUGGGAGUAAAGCAGUGCAAAACAACCUGAACUCAUCCACUAACAUCUGAGAGCCAUCAUAAACCUUUCAGAAAUGUUGAAAAUGUGUGUC